AGGAUGAACGCUGGCGGCGUGCCUAACACAUGCAAGUCGAACGUCCUGUCUCGCAAGAGGCAGGGAGUGGCGGACGGGUGAGUACCACGUGGGUCAUCUACCGUGAGGUGAGGAAUACCGGCGAGAAAUCGCCGACAAGACCGCAUAGCCUCGGUGCAAGCCGAGGAAAGCUCUCUCGAGAGAGGGAGCGCCACACGAGGAGCCUGCGCCCGAUUAGCUAGCUGGUGGAGUAACGGUUCACCAGGGCGACGAUCGGUAGCUGGUCUGAGAGGACGAUCAGCCACACUGGGAUUGAGAACGGCCCAGACUCCUACGGGGGGCAGCAGUGAGGAAUUUUCGUCAAUGGGGGCAACCCUGAACGAGCAACGCCGCGUGCAGGAAGAAGGUUUUCGGAUCGUAAACUGCUUUUCUCGGGGAAGAGAACGGACGGUACCCGAGGAAUCAGCCCCGGCUAACUACGUGCCAGCAGCCGC
RNAcentral lists this ribosomal RNA (473 nucleotides) under uncultured bacterium. RNAcentral's name for it is "SSU rRNA". It matches the Rfam family "Bacterial small subunit ribosomal RNA", at positions 26 to 518 of the family's 1533-position model. The record is from RNAcentral.